AGUGACCAGGUUAGAGAGAGCCUCAAAUGGCUGCAGCUUGGAUGAUAUUUUGGAGGUGAUGGGGAUUCACUCUGGAUUUUUGGAGUAGAGAAGCAUUUUGAUGAGAGUUUUACACUUUUGCCCUUCUGCCCCAUCUUUGUGGGCAUUUACUCUUGGGGGGGGGGUCCUGCUGGCAGGUAGUAGUCUGCCUUGGGUCUCUAGUGGAAAACAUGGUGGUUUGGGAAUCAGACUGCCUGGGUUCAAAUAUGUGUAAUAAUUCUCCCUAAUUUCACUUUAGUUUCACUUUAGUGAAUCCAGAACAGUUUCUGCAGCUUUAAAGACCAUAUAUUGCCUACAGUAGCUGCAGAGGACAAGCACUUCAGCUUUGGGUUUAAUGCCAGAGGAUUUUGUGGAAAAGGAGACAACAAACCAAACUCUUUGAUUCAUUGCGUGGUGGCUGCUCUGGAUAAAGGCCGAGUAAGAGCUUCCACGCUUCCUCCGGAUUCACCUGAAGAGCGAAGCAGGCCGCCGAAGCCCACCGCUGAAGCCCACCUGCAAAUGGAGACCGUGGGCCAUUUCCUCGGGCAUCCGCUCAGCAGCUGAGGUCGCUAAUAGCCGGCCAAUUCAAAACACACAAUUCUCUAUAAUAAAUAGUGGUCAACCAAGCCUUGUUCCUCCCAGACGUUUCUCCCUCACCGCCUUUCACUUCUCCUUCAGAUGGCUUCCCCUUUCUGUAUUGUGUGUCACUUCAAAGCAGUUCUCCUCUGGAGGUGGCCACCGGAGGUUCCCGCGUGGAAUCCUGCCCCUUUGGACGGCCCUGCGGUCCACAAAACGUCGCCGUCGUUUCCAGGUCAUCGGAGAAAGAGGGAGGGACCAAAAGGAGAAUUGAUUAUAAAAGGAUAUUUUUUAAAGUCACAAAAGAAAACAGAAGGAAUGUCAAGGGGAAACACAGGCAAGUAGGACGGCUUUAAACAAAACACAAUUGAUUGUGUAUUUUGUAAAAAAGAUGUACACGAUGGACACUCAUUAUUUAUCAUAUAAUCUUCUCUUCCUGUUAUAUCUAUAUGGAAAAAAUUCAUAUUUGUUUAGAAAGAAUAACUGAAAUUUAAAAUUCAAAAGAAAUAAAAGUAAGGCACCUGGCACAGGCCCAGAAAGGGUGCAUUGGAGGCAGUGAACACAUUUUAGGAAAGGGGAAGAGCCAAAAGGAAACUCUCAUCCCUCUACCAAAACAGAUGUGGGAAUCAUUGUAUUAAAGUAUAGAGAGAGCACGUCUUCACGGCCCAGGUCCCACUCCCUCUGAUGCUGGUGGGUCAGUCAGGACCCGACUUCCUUGGCUCAGGGUCCCGGGAGCUCCCUGGACUGACUGGACUAGGGUCUCCCCUCAGGCUCACAGCCCAAGCUCCCUUUGGGAUGGGUCCCACCAAUAUCAUUUCCCAGUUAUCUCCUCAAUAUCAGCGCCGGCUGCUAUCACUUCAGUGUCAUCCAUAGCUCUGAUUAGCACCAGGAGCAUUUCAUCAAUUGUCAUCAAUGUGCUAUUUGAAAGGAGAUUUAUGGAGAAGCCGGAGGAAGCACAGCCCUGGAAACAGGGGCACCUCCUUCUAUACCACCUGGGGCCUGGGGGAGCAUGGGCUUAAAUGGAAAGCAGUUGGCACAAAGGUACCCAGUUCCCUUCUGGCUGGUGCAGCUGGUGCAUGGAAUUGUUUGCAGAAACCGGGAUCUUGGGGUAAAUCCAUUGCUGGUCUAGGAUCAAGGUUUGGGGCCACCAGGACCAGCUGCCCCAGUCUCUGGUCCUGGAUGCCUUUCCCAAGCAUCCGAAACUGCCAGAGCCCCGAUGUAAGCCAUUUUACUACUGACCAAGGCAAGAAUGAAUCAUCCCAGAGAGACAGAAGCAAUAGAUGAGCCACGUGGGGGUGGCCUCGUGUCUCCGGGGGUGAGAGCGGGGGCUGGCGCUCCCCUCGCCGGGGGGCUCAUAGCAGUUAUUUCCCCUACAUUCAAAUGUAGCCGCGCAGGAAAUCGGGUCACUCUGAGGUCACCUUGUGCUUUUUGAAUGAACACUCACUUCUAGCUCGUAGCCAAUCAAAUAAGUUUCCAGCAGAUUUACUGGAAAGAGUCACAGAUACCUGAAGUCCACGUGGGGAAUCCCCCUGGCCUGGCGGGCGGGGCUCUCGUUCUCCACCACACGUGGAACAAACGAAUGGGGAUCGGGGCAAAAAUAAAAUCAAAGUAGGAACUUAAUGGGACAAGUUCGAAGGAGCCCAAUCCUCAAAAUCCAUAUGGUGAACUAGAAACAAACAUGUGAUGUAUAGAAACAAAUAAUGUUUGUUCAAUCUAAUAGUUCAAAAAUCAACAGGUACCUACUGGGAGCAGAACGCUUUGUCGGCCAUUAGGAGACGUUUGUAGCUUCCAUAUAUGGGAGAGGGAUAUGACAAGUACGACAUGACGGCUAAAUACGUCCCAGAAGUAGAAAAGGCGCCUGCUGGAAGACUUAAUGACCAACUGGGGCAUCAAGUAAAGAAAAGCUUCCUGGAAAAGAUCCCAAGGAAGGGGGGAUUUUAAGGAGAGCUGAGAAAUCAGUCAUCUGAAGGGGAUGGGUGGGUGAAGGCAUUCCAGGCGCAGGGAAGAACGUGGACAAAGGCCGUGGGGUGAGAAACUACAGGGAAUCUGAAGAAGUGCUGCUGAAUCAUCACUUUGGCUGAAGUAUUGAAUACACAGGGAGAAAGAAUACGUGAUAAAGUUUGAAAGGCAGGGCAGACUGUAUUUUUAACUUUAUUUAAAACUUAAGUAAAAAAAUAGAAAAAUAAAAAUAAAAAUUGUCG
This is a long non-coding RNA of Antechinus flavipes (yellow-footed antechinus), 2795 nucleotides long. RefSeq lists it as uncharacterized. The record is from RefSeq and is a predicted model, not a curated record. The transcript has 3 exons. Lineage: Eukaryota; Metazoa; Chordata; Mammalia; Dasyuromorphia; Dasyuridae.